This 468-nucleotide ribosomal RNA is filed under the name uncultured bacterium. RNAcentral describes it as "partial 16S ribosomal RNA". It matches the Rfam family "Bacterial small subunit ribosomal RNA", at positions 28 to 507 of the family's 1533-position model. The record is from RNAcentral.
GACGAACGCUGGCGGCGUGCUUAACACAUGCAAGUCGAACGGAAAGGCCCUGCUUUUGUGGGGUGCUCGAGUGGCGAACGGGUGAGUAACACGUGAGUAACCUGCCCUUGACUUUGGGAUAACUUCAGGAAACUGGGGCUAAUACCGGAUAGGAGCUCCUGCUGCAUGGUGGGGGUUGGAAAGUUUCGGCGGUUGGGGAUGGACUCGCGGCUUAUGAGCUUGUUGGUGGGGUAGUGGCUUACCAAGGCUUUGACGGGUAGCCGGCCUGAGAGGGUGACCGGCCACAGUGGGACUGAGAUACGGCCCAGACUCCUACUGGAUGCAGCAGUGGGGAAUAUUGCACAAUGGGCGGAAGCCUGAUGCAGCAACGCCGCGUGCGGGAUGACGGCCUUCGGGUUGUAAACCGCUUUCGCCUGUGACGAAGCGUGUGUGACGGUAAUGGGUAAAGAAGCACCGGCUAACUACGUG